This 426-nucleotide ribosomal RNA is filed under the name uncultured Glomeromycotina. RNAcentral describes it as "SSU rRNA". It matches the Rfam family "Eukaryotic small subunit ribosomal RNA", at positions 668 to 1092 of the family's 1831-position model. The record is from RNAcentral. Lineage: Eukaryota; Fungi; Glomeromycota.
CUAUGGUAUGUACUGGCUUUACUGAUUCCUCCUUCUUGAAGAACUGUAAUGUCAUUAAUUUGGUGUUGCAGGGAACCAGGACUGUUACUUUGAGAAAAUUAGAGUGUUUAAAGCAGGCUAACGCUUGAAUACAUUAGCAUGGAAUAAUGAAAUAGGACGUUCGAUCCUAUUUUGUUGGUUUCUAGGAUUGACGUAAUGAUUAAUAGGGAUAGUUGGGGGCAUUAGUAUUCAAUUGUCAGAGGUGAAAUUCUUGGAUUUAUUGAAGACUAACUACUGCGAAAGCAUUUGCCAAGGAUGUUUUCAUUAAUCAAGAACGAAAGUUAGGGGAUCGAAGACGAUCAGAUACCGUCGUAGUCUUAACCAUAAACUAUGCCGACUAGGGAUCGGAUGAUGUUAAUUUUUUAAUGACUCAUUCGGCGCCUUACG